AAAUGCGAUAAUUAAUGUGAAUUGCAGAAUUCAGUGAAUCAUCGAGUCUUUGAACGCACAUUGUGCCCCCUGGUAUUCCGGGGGGCAUGCCUGUCCGAGCGUCAUUGCUGCCCUCAAGCACGGCUUGUGUGUUGGGCUUCCGUCCCUGGCAACGGGGACGGGCCCAAAAGGCAGUGGCGGCACCAUGUCUGGUCCUCGAGCGUAUGGGGCUUUGUCACCCGCUCCCGUAGGUCCAGCUGGCAGCUAGCCUCGCAACCAAUCUUUUUAACCAGGUUGACCUCGGAUCAGGUAGGGAUACCCGCUGAACUUAAGC
Molecule: unclassified non-coding RNA, 313 nt
Filed under: plant metagenome
Description: partial contains 5.8S ribosomal RNA, internal transcribed spacer 2, and large subunit ribosomal RNA
Rfam family: 5.8S ribosomal RNA (bases 1-104)
Source: RNAcentral